RNAcentral lists this ribosomal RNA (235 nucleotides) under uncultured bacterium. RNAcentral describes it as "partial 16S ribosomal RNA". It matches the Rfam family "Bacterial small subunit ribosomal RNA", at positions 524 to 754 of the family's 1533-position model. The record is from RNAcentral.
UACGUAGGGUGCAAGCGUUAAUCGGAAUUACGUGGGCGUAAAGCGUGCGGCAGGCGGCUAUGCAAGACAGAUGUGAAAUCCCCGGCUCAAUCCUGGGAACUGCAUUUGUGACUGCAUAGCUAGAGUACGGUAGAGGGGAUGGAAUUCCGCGUGUAGCAGUGAAAUGCGUAGAUAUGCGGAGGAAGCACCUGAUGGCGAAGGCAAUCCCCUGGACCUGUGACUGACGCUCAUGCAC